UUCUGGUUGUGUAUGUGAAUGACAUUAUUAUCACUAGGGAUGAUGUUGCUGAACUUUCUACCCUCAUAGUCUUCUUGGAUGACCAAUUCAGAAUCAAAGACCUUGGGUCUCUGCACUAUUUCUGGCCAUUGAGGUGUCAUCUGUUGCUGGUGAUGUGCUCCUUAAUCAGCACAAGUUUAUUUCUGACUUGCUGCAUCAGUUUGACUAUGUGGCUGUCUCCCCUGUAGUCUGUCCUUUGGACCUCAAUACCAAAUUGCAUGCUGAUUCUGGUGAUCUUUUUCCUUCUCCUGAUCAUUACAGGAGCUUGAUUGGCAAGCUCCUCUUCUUGACUAAUACUCGACCUGACAUAUGUUUUGUUGUGCAACAUUUAAGUCAGUUUUUGAAAGCUCCCAGAAUCCCUAUUGGCAAGCUCCUAUUCUUGACACAUACCCGACCUAACAUCUGUUUUGCUGUUCAGCAUUUGAGUCGGUUUUUGAAUACCUCACAUGUCUGUUGCUCUACAUGUUCUUAGGUAUCUUAUGGUUCUAUGGAUUUGGGCUCUUCUACUCUGAUAGUCCUAAUUUUGCAGUCACUGCAUUUUCA
RNAcentral lists this long non-coding RNA (582 nucleotides) under Nicotiana benthamiana. RNAcentral's name for it is "long non-coding RNA (NBEN_LNC016640)". The record is from RNAcentral. Lineage: Eukaryota; Viridiplantae; Streptophyta; Magnoliopsida; Solanales; Solanaceae.